UUGUCGGAAAUAUUGGUUAACCUAGGACAUUUUUGGAAAUAUUGUGACAAUUUCUCAUUUAGGGUCAUAAGCAUGCCUGUUCUGACACUUUGAGGUGUUGUGGAACGCGUGUACAAAAUUUCUGAUGAUUUUGAUGUUCGCGGGUCAAUUUGACCCUCAAUUUCAUGGUUAACCACAGCUGCACAGACUCAAAAUUUAAAAAAAAAAUAUAUGUAAUUUUUAAUGUCAUUUUCUCAACUACCCUCUGACGGUAUUUAAAUUUACAUUUUUGCAUUUGGCUGACACUUUUAUCCAAAAAAAAAAUACACUAUGUUGAAGGUGUACAUUUCUGAACGCAUGAUUUUGGCGUUGCUAGCGCUAUGCUCUGCUGUUUGAGCUUCAGGGAAAGCACACAAAAAUGAAACAAAAACAUAAAAUAAAAAACAAUCAACAAUUUUAAAUAAAAAAAAUUGCUACAAUACUGUUUAUAUUAUUCAUAUUUUUUUAAACAAAUGGUUAAAAAUGUGUGAGAAGUAAUUAUAUUAACUGUUUUUACCUGGUUUGUUUUGUUUUUUAUAGUGUGAUUUUUUUUUUGUGUGUGUGUGUGUGUGUGUGUGUGUGUGUGUGUGUGUGAAUUGUAUUGAAUCCAAUUAGGGUCAACUUGACCCGCAACGAAAUAAUCGUACCCAGAAUUCGAACAUUACAUCACACUUGUUUUUGUAACACUUGCUCUGCAUAGCAAAAAUCAAACGAGACUCCAGUAUUGGCAAAAAAUAAGAAAUUCUUUUUAAAAAUUCACAGCUCUGUGAACCUCAGAUCUUUCUCAGCUGUCAGAUAAAAGUGCCUUUUGUCUCAUAUUUGUUUCACGUUUCCAGUGCAACCGGUUCUAAUCAUUCACGUCCUGUUGUGACAGAGCAAACACUCACAAGCUCCUGAGAGUCUGAGAUCUGAACGGAGCCGCUGAGUCACAGGACUCAGAGAAAUACGACUGAAUCUGGAGACCUGAACAGACAGAUCCACUAAAUCAUCACAUGCUGUGUCCAUCUGCAGCACAGAAGACAGAGAUCGUCAGAGACAGCAUGACGGAUUAGAUAUCGAGCGCGUACAGCUGAUCAGAGCUCACAGAUUGGCGGAUUUCAAACCCACUGCGCAAACACCACAGAGAACAAACGAGUACAGUCAAAUGUCUGUAUGCAAAGACCUUGUGUUUGCAUUCCCUCACCAAACAUCUAAAAUAGGACAAUAUUAUGCCCCGUGAACAAGGUUGCAGUUUGCAUAUUUAUUUUUGGAAAUAAUUUCUAACCACACUGAGUACAUCUCUACACUUUUUGUAGCAUUUUGGUAAAAAAAGUUUGAUUUAAAAAAAUCAUGUUUUGGUAAAUCAUAAUUAUGAGAUAAAAAGCUAUAAAAAAUAAAAUUAUGACUCACAAACCCAUAAUCAAAAAUGGUCAUAGUCAUAAAUAUGAGAUGAAGUCAAAAUUAUGAUAAAAUCUCAAUUUUUAUUUAUCUCAUGAUGAUUUGAGAAGUCGAAAUAAUGACAUACAAAGUCUUAUGACAUAAAAAAUAUUUUACUUUUUGUCAUAAUUUUGACUUUUCAUCUCAAUUUUGAUUUAUCUCAAUUGACUUAGUGUCAUUUUGACCACAUAAUUGCCAUAAUUUCAUCUUUAUCUCAAAAUGUCCUUUUGACUUGUCUAUAUGACAUGACACAUCAUGACAAAUCAUGACAUAAAGGUUGAAAUUAUGAAUUUUGACUUUUUAUCUCACAAUUUUCACUUUUCAUCCUCAUAAUUAUGACUAAGUAUGUCAAUUUCAAUUUCAUAAAAUGUCAUAUCAAUUUACCAAAUUUUGUCUUAUGUGGCAAAAAUUGGCUUCCAUACUGAGGUUUUUCGCAUAAAAAAAAAGUCGUGUCACCACACUAUGAAAGGGUUAUGAAGAUAAAGCUGCUCAUUUUGUCAAACUCGGCUGGUCAUGUGAUCUCAACAUGGCCACCCACAUAGGAUAUAAACAGCUUUUAUUACACUACUGAUAUGAAUGAGUCUUCAUCUCUUAUGAAAGUAUACCAUUUGAAACACAACAACUGUGUAUGCAAAUUACAUGUAAAUAACCUCUGUAAUGAUUGGCUAAUCUCCGCAUACCAGCAUACUGAAUAGACGUUGUGCUUUUUGUCACAUUUAACAUAUUACUACUCAAAGACAACCUAUUUUCCUGGAUGUUUUCCUUUAUCCCAGAGGACAAUGAAACAGUCACGACGGGGGGACAAGAAGAAGUGUCCAGUGGUACCAGGCACAGCCCAGCUCUGACCUCUAGCACACUUUCUCUCUGUUCACUCGAACACACACAAGUCUGAGGACUGAAUUCAACAAAGCCACGCUCAAUAUGACAGAUUUAUUAUAAUACCUCAUGUUUAUCAAUCAAAACGCAAGAUGUUUAUUUAAAAAGAGGACAGGAAAUGUUCAGUACAUGUUGCAAGUCUGAAUGUAAUUUAUUUCUGUGAUCAAAGCUAAAUUAUUAGCAUCAUUACUCCAGUCUUCAGUGUCACAUGAUCCUUCAGAAAUCAUUCUAAUAUGCUGCUCAAGAAACAUUUCUUAUUAUCAAAGUUGUGCGAAAGAAGACACAUUUCUAUCAUUUCAAACAUUUGGUUUUGCUCACUGUGAUGUUCAGCAAGCAAAACUUUAAAAGUGGGUUUAAUUUUUUUGUCCUCUCUAAUGGACCGCAGACAUGCUAAACAUUACUGUACGCCAUGAAUGACAGGUAUAAAGUGAAAUCUGUAUUUUCGAACAUGCAAAAUUAUUGUACGUGUGCCAACAGAGCCAUUAAAAGAGGAAGUUGAGCU
Long non-coding RNA from Ctenopharyngodon idella (grass carp), 2812 nucleotides. RefSeq lists it as uncharacterized. The transcript is spliced from 2 exons. The record is from RefSeq and is a predicted model, not a curated record. Lineage: Eukaryota; Metazoa; Chordata; Actinopteri; Cypriniformes; Xenocyprididae.